AUAAGGUGCGAUGAUGCUUGUCCACCUAAUCUCAAGAGUUCAAUGAUGAAUUCAAGUACAUACACUACCAUCUGAUCUUAU
Non-coding RNA from Capsicum annuum, 81 nucleotides. The record is from Rfam. NCBI's taxonomy places the organism in Eukaryota, Viridiplantae, Streptophyta, Magnoliopsida, Solanales, Solanaceae.